Molecule: ribosomal RNA, 388 nt
Filed under: uncultured Clostridium sp.
Lineage: Bacteria; Bacillati; Bacillota; Clostridia; Eubacteriales; Clostridiaceae
Description: bacterial SSU rRNA
Rfam family: Bacterial small subunit ribosomal RNA
Source: RNAcentral
UGGGGAAUAUUGGACAAUGGGGGAAACCCUGAUCCAGCGACGCCGCGUGAGUGAAGAAGUAUUUCGGUAUGUAAAGCUCUAUCAGCAAGGAAGAAAAUGACGGUACUUGACUAAGAAGCCCCGGCUAACUACGUGCCAGCAGCCGCGGUAAUACGUAGGUGGCGAGCGUUAUCCGGAUUUACUGGGUGUAAAGGGUGAGUAGGCGGGAAGGCAAGUCAGAUGUGAAAUGCAAUGGCUCAACCAUUGAAUUGCAUUUGAAACUGUUUUUCUUGAGAGUCGGAGAGGUAAUCGGAAUUCCUAGUGUAGCGGUGAAAUGCGUAGAGAUUAGGAGGAACACCAGUGGCGAAGGCGGAUUACUGGACGACAACUGACGCUGAGACACGAAAGC